RNAcentral lists this ribosomal RNA (254 nucleotides) under uncultured bacterium. Its description in RNAcentral is "partial 16S ribosomal RNA". It matches the Rfam family "Bacterial small subunit ribosomal RNA", at positions 524 to 776 of the family's 1533-position model. The record is from RNAcentral.
UACGUAGGGUGCGAGCGUUGUCCGGAAUUAUUGGGCGUAAAGAGCUCGUAGGCGGUGUGUCGCGUCGGUCGUGAAAACUUGGGGCUUAACCCUGAGCUUGCGGUCGAUACGGGCAUCACUUGAGUUCGGCAGGGGAGACUGGAAUUCCUGGUGUAGCGGUGGAAUGCGUAGAGAUCCGGAGGAAGACCGGUGGCGAAGGCGGCCUGCUGGGCAGUUACUGACACUGAGGCGCGACAGCGUGGGGAGCAAACAGG